UUUCAUCAUUUAUUAAUAGGCUAAUAGUAUUCACUUCAUAUAUAGCAACUGUAACAUAUAUUUACUAUACAGGAAUAACAGGUAGACCUCAUUUUACUUCCAGAAAACAAAAUGGAGGAUGUUAUUAUUGAAGAAGUCACAAAAAGCUAAUACAAAUUGUACAAGAUAUUGGCCCUGAGGUUAGUGAAAGUCCAUUAUACUGAAACAUAAUGGAGAGAAUAGUGAACUAAAUGAGGGUUUUGAUAAAGGGGUAAAAGAGUCAGAUUUCAUAACUGACGACGAAAAAAUGGUACAUCAUGGGAAAGAUGCAAGUCAAACUCCCGAGGAAGCCGCAGAAGAAGAAGUGAUAUUAUCUAAGUUACGUGAGGUGGUGAGAAAGAGUACCCAUUCUGAUCCCAUGCAGAGACCAACAGCUGAACAAUUACUGGAAAUACUAAAGCGCUGAUUAUUUUUACUUUAUAGUUUUUCAAUCUGAUUAAAACACAUAUCCUAUUUCGUUUCGUUUUUAUACACAACAUUUUGUUUUACUUGUCUUUACUACACUAAGAUCUGGAAGAGUUGUUAUAUAACCUGCGUUCUGGUUGAUGUGAGGGAUUAGCCAAUGAAACGAUCUGUUGAGCCAGUUCUUGGCGUGUGGUGCUCGGAACUGUGGGUAUCCCACUAGAAACAUCAACGCUGAUUGGUUAAUCUAAUGUCUGGCGUCAUAGGAUCAAAAGCCGCUCGAAUGACCCUGACGCGACCUUCCACUACAACUGAUCAGAUCUGCCUGUAUUGGAGGGCAUCAAAAGUAUAAAAAAGCCGAAUCGAAAUAUAGAUCUGUACUUUAAUCAGAUUGAUAGUUUUUGUACAAUAAUUCAACUUUAAAUAUCCGGGUAUAACUCUUCAUUUUAGGAUUUUUGGACCAGUUCUUUGUCCCCAUGUGCUACUCAUCUUGUCGUUUUUCUUGUUGGGGGCGACAUCCUUUUAAAAAAGUCUAUUCAAGUACGAUCGACAUGAAACUUGACAUACUUGUACCUCGGGCAAUUGUGCAUCAAUCAAUGACUUCACGUUCACGAAUCCAAGAUCUCUGUGAUGACGCAAUGCUCCGUUCCCGGUCCAUGUAGUACUUUCAUACUUGUGCUCCUUUUUGUUGAAUUUGUAUUUUGUAAAAUAUUUCAUCUUCAUAUAUCAGGGUACCAUUCUCCAUUUUUGGGAUUUUGCUUUGUUACUGGAGUUUCUUCACUGGAUUCUGUAAUUUGGCCCUCUGUUCUUAGAAUCGAUUAUGUUUGAUAAUUUUUAUGACCAAAGGCACCAUGGCUCUCAGCAAGAUAAUACAUGGAUUUGGUUGUGUUCAAUAUAUUCAAAUAACUCAUAACAUCGUGGAGAACAAACGUACUGGGACCGCUGAGAGUCAGACUUAAGUACUUUUGUAUUAUAAAGAUUGUUGUUACCAUGUAAUUAAACACUUCUGACGUAUAGAAUAAAUCUUGAUGGCACACUUAUUGUUAUUAUAUUUAUUCUGAAAUGCUGGGCCUUUGAAGGGAUAUAAAACUGUCGAUUGUAUUGUUUAUUUCGAUA
This is a long non-coding RNA of Patella vulgata (common limpet), 1557 nucleotides long. RefSeq lists it as uncharacterized. NCBI's taxonomy places the organism in Eukaryota, Metazoa, Mollusca, Gastropoda, Patellidae. The transcript is spliced from 5 exons. The record is from RefSeq and is a predicted model, not a curated record.